Molecule: ribosomal RNA, 253 nt
Filed under: uncultured bacterium
Lineage: Bacteria
Description: partial 16S ribosomal RNA
Rfam family: Bacterial small subunit ribosomal RNA
Source: RNAcentral
UACAGAGGUCCCGAGCGUUGUUCGGAUUCACUGGGCGUAAAGGGUGCGUAGGCGGUUCUGCAAGUCUGAUGUGAAAUCUCCGGGCCCAACCCGGAAAUGGCAUUAGAAACUGCAGGGCUAGAGGCUUGGAGGGGGAACUGGAAUGCUCGGUGUAGCAGUGAAAUGCGUAGAGAUCGAGCGGAACACCAGUGGCGAAGGCGAGUUCCUGGACAAGACCUGACGCUGAGGCACGAAAGCCAGGGGAGCAAACAGG